GGAGGGAUCGCAUAGUGGUCGAGUGCAGCGGUUUACUAAACCGCCGUGGUGAAAGCUACCGAGGGUUCGAAUCCCUCUCCCUCCG
This 85-nucleotide transfer RNA is filed under the name Candidatus Woesebacteria bacterium. RNAcentral describes it as "tRNA-Ser". It matches the Rfam family "tRNA". From Rfam's summary of the family: Transfer RNA (tRNA) molecules are approximately 80 nucleotides in length. Their secondary structure includes four short double-helical elements and three loops (D, anti-codon, and T loops). Further hydrogen bonds mediate the characteristic L-shaped molecular structure. tRNAs have two regions of fundamental functional importance: the anti-codon, which is responsible for specific mRNA codon recognition, and the 3' end, to which the tRNAs corresponding amino acid is attached (by aminoacyl-tRNA synthetases). tRNAs cope with the degeneracy of the genetic code in two manners: having more than one tRNA (with a specific anti-codon) for a particular amino acid; and 'wobble' base-pairing, i.e. permitting non-standard base-pairing at the 3rd anti-codon position. Lineage: Bacteria; Candidatus Woeseibacteriota. The record is from RNAcentral.